GACGGAGGGGGCAAGCGUUGUUCGGAAUCACUGGGCGUAAAGCGCGCGCAGGCGGAUCGGUAAGUCGGGGGUGAAAGCCCGGGGCUCAACCUCGGAAUUGCCUUCGAAACUGUCGGUCUCGAGUCCGGGAGAGGUUGGUGGAAUUCCUGGUGUAGAGGUGAAAUUCGUAGAUAUUAGGAAGAACACCAGUGGCGAAGGCGGCUCACUGGCCGGUGACUGACGCUCAGAUGCGAAAGCGUGGGGAGCAAACAGG
Molecule: ribosomal RNA, 253 nt
Filed under: uncultured bacterium
Lineage: Bacteria
Description: partial 16S ribosomal RNA
Rfam family: Bacterial small subunit ribosomal RNA
Source: RNAcentral